UACGUAGGGUGCAAGCGUUAAUCGGAAUUACUGGGCGUAAAGCGUGCGCAGGCGGUUUUGUAAGUCUGACGUGAAAUCCCCGGGCUCAACCUGGGAAUUGCGUUGGAGACUGCAAGGCUAGAAUCUGGCAAAGGGGGGUAGAAUUCCACGUGUAGCAGUGAAAUGCGUAGAGAUGUGGAGGAACACCGAUGGCGAAGGCAGCCCCCUGGGUCAAGAUUGACGCUCAUGCACGAAAGCGUGGGGAGCAAACAGG
This 253-nucleotide ribosomal RNA is filed under the name uncultured bacterium. RNAcentral's name for it is "partial 16S ribosomal RNA". It matches the Rfam family "Bacterial small subunit ribosomal RNA", at positions 524 to 776 of the family's 1533-position model. The record is from RNAcentral.